CCUGCAAACAGGCCGAUUCAAGCCUUGCGAUUCGGGUCGGGUUGGGUUACUGAAAUGAACGAAAAAAACGCCCGCAUUCUGCUCCGUUGUGUACUACACGUCAGCCCGUUGCAUUUAGCAGGAGUGGUCUAUCUUACUCCGCUAUAGGAUCUUUGAUUUUGGGUUGAUGUCC
Long non-coding RNA from Amblyraja radiata (thorny skate), 172 nucleotides. RefSeq lists it as uncharacterized. The transcript is spliced from 3 exons. NCBI's taxonomy places the organism in Eukaryota, Metazoa, Chordata, Chondrichthyes, Rajiformes, Rajidae. The record is from RefSeq and is a predicted model, not a curated record.